RNAcentral lists this long non-coding RNA (401 nucleotides) under Androctonus crassicauda. Lineage: Eukaryota; Metazoa; Arthropoda; Arachnida; Scorpiones; Buthidae. The record is from RNAcentral.
GUUGAACACUACCCAUUUAUAGUACGUUUUUGCAAAAGAAACUACCUAAGUCAGAGAAUGAAUGAAUUAAACAAAUAAUAAUAAUGUUGCAUGUAUCUGUGAUCACAUGCUGUUCAAGUUGCGACUUCCUCUCAACAGCUAAUUGCUUUCUACAUGGCUGGCAGAACACUAUUUUGCCAUCCAUUGUAAAAAUUUCGCACUCUUCAUUAUAUGUGACAAUCCAAUUCCGAAGUUUUGCGCUGAGAGGAUUGGUGUUUUCGGCAUUUCUAACAAUGAACAGCCCGACUCGUACUCAAUUAGCCCAAGGAAGUUGACUUUGACAAGCAGAUUGUCAUCUCUUUCAAACAGAAAGUAGCCCGUUUAAAAAAUAAAAUUGCCCAAUAUGUAUAUUUUAUAUGGGA